AGAGAGUGGAGGGAGAGACAUAGGCCAAUAGGCCAAUAGUUUUGCUGGUUGAUACUUCAUCACUCUCUCUUCCCUUUUCCUUUGUUGUUGUUAUUGGAUACAUAGAUUUGACAUUUACUUGAAAUAUCUGAUUCACUUUUUAGUCAUCGUAGAGUUUAUCUGCAGAUGCAUUAUGUAUUGGUCCGUUUGAUUGGUAAGGUGAGACGGAAAACAGAUAGAGAGGAGAAGAGAAGAGACUGUUAUUGUUUUAAGUCAAGUCAGAUAAUUGAGGAUUUGUGUGCUCAUAGAGAGGAGAAUGUUCAGAAUUCAAUAUCUUUAGUUCUUAGGUGAAUUUUGCUUGUUACUUAUGAUUAUGUAGUUGUCUGAUUACCCUUAGUUUUAUCAAGAAGAUGAGAUUCAUUUGUAUGAAUAGGUUCUUCUCUUGGUUUGACCAAAUAACUGUCUUGCUAAUGUGGUGUUUUUUUUUUUGGUUUCA
Capsella rubella is the source of this 475-nucleotide long non-coding RNA. RefSeq lists it as uncharacterized. NCBI's taxonomy places the organism in Eukaryota, Viridiplantae, Streptophyta, Magnoliopsida, Brassicales, Brassicaceae. The transcript has 2 exons. The record is from RefSeq and is a predicted model, not a curated record.